UAAUAGCUCACUGGUCGAGUCGGCCUGCGCGGAAGAUGUAACGGGGCUAAACCAUGCACCGAAGCUGCGGCAGCGACGCUUAUGCGUUGUUGGGUAGGGGAGCGUUCUGUAAGCCGUUGAAGGUGGCCUGUGAGGGUUGCUGGAGGUAUCAGAAGUGCGAAUGCUGACAUAAGUAACGAUAAAGCGGGUGAAAAGCCCGCUCGCCGGAAGACCAAGGGUUCCUGUCCAACGUUAAUCGGGGCAGGGUGAGUCGACCCCUAAGGCGAGGCCGAAAGGCGUAGUCGAUGGGAAACAGGUUAAUAUUCCUGUACUUGGUGUUACUGCGAAGGGGGGACGGAGAAGGCUAUGUUAGCCGGGCGACGGUUGUCCCGGUUUAAGCAUGUAGGCGGAGGUUCCAGGUAAAUCCGGUACCUUUUAACGCUGAGGUGUGAUGACGAGGCACUACGGUGCUGAAGUAACAAAUGCCCUGCUUCCAGGAAAAGCCUCUAAGCAUCAGGUAACAUCAAAUCGUACCCCAAACCGACACAGGUGGUCAGGUAGAGAAUACCAAGGCGCUUGAGAGAACUCGGGUGAAGGAACUAGGCAAAAUGGUGCCGUAACUUCGGGAGAAGGCACGCUGAUAUGUAGGUGAAGCCCCUGCGGGUGGAGCUGAAAUCAGUCGAAGAUACCAGCUGGCUGCAACUGUUUAUUAAAAACACAGCACUGUGCAAACACGAAAGUGGACGUAUACGGUGUGACGCCUGCCCGGUGCCGGAAGGUUAAUUGAUGGGGUUAGCGG
This 778-nucleotide ribosomal RNA is filed under the name Enterobacter kobei. RNAcentral's name for it is "partial 23S ribosomal RNA". It matches the Rfam family "Bacterial large subunit ribosomal RNA", at positions 1135 to 1896 of the family's 2925-position model. Lineage: Bacteria; Pseudomonadati; Pseudomonadota; Gammaproteobacteria; Enterobacterales; Enterobacteriaceae. The record is from RNAcentral.